RNAcentral lists this transfer RNA (67 nucleotides) under Arenaria interpres (ruddy turnstone). RNAcentral's name for it is "tRNA-Cys". Lineage: Eukaryota; Metazoa; Chordata; Aves; Charadriiformes; Scolopacidae. The record is from RNAcentral. RNAcentral also lists the same sequence under 1 other name.
GGCUCUGUGGUGAAGUUCAUGUUGAGUUGCAAGCUCAUCGAUGUGCAUUGAGGAUGCACCGGAGCCU